Molecule: long non-coding RNA, 742 nt
Filed under: Numida meleagris (helmeted guineafowl)
Lineage: Eukaryota; Metazoa; Chordata; Aves; Galliformes; Numididae
Description: lncRNA (ENSNMEG00000014586.1)
Source: RNAcentral
AUUCAGUACCAUGUGAAUUCAAUCCUUAGAAUAAUCACAGCUGGUGCAUAGGGAAUAAAUGACCAAAUGACUGAGGGUUUGCAGUGCCAUGCCCUAUCUUGACAUGGGGAUUUCAGCUAUUCAUGGGAUUGUGUUGGGACUCUUCAUCAAUGCGAAGCAGGUCUUGAAACCUUCUGGCUAACAUCCAGGAAAAGACUUGUGGAAAGAUAUGAUAGGAAAAACCGGAUUGCUUGGCAGCUAUUGUCAGCAGGCAUUGUUUUCCUGGUCCAACUUUGUGAGUGCAUGCACAAGGCAUUCUUCCUCCAACGUUUCAUCAAUGAAGAUUUCCAAUACCAGUUAGCUACUAAAGACAAGCUACCAAAGACAAUACUCUUCUCUCUUUCCACUGGAUGCAGGAAUCACCUCUCUUGGAAUGGGGAGAAAUGAGGUGUCUAGUAGGUUACAUAAGGAGCCAAGGUGUUGAGAUGGAGUGGAUUUGCAGCAAGAUCUGCCUAAGGAAGGGUUUGGGUCGCGCCACUGUUCUUAUUUGCUUCUGUGCAUGUUUUUGAUGCAUACUGGCAAAAAGACUUGGAUCUCUCUUUGCAGUCAAAUUUAGAGUUAAUGAUCAAUUCUUGCAGGGUGUUCACUGUAUCCUACUUAAAUUAUCUUCUAAUGUAUGUAACUCAGUGCGUUUACUGAGCCAGUAUAGAUCAUGAUCUUUAUUGAAAACCACUGAGCUCAAUAAAGCUGAAGAAAAGUGUCA